Molecule: ribosomal RNA, 574 nt
Filed under: uncultured bacterium
Lineage: Bacteria
Description: bacterial SSU rRNA
Rfam family: Bacterial small subunit ribosomal RNA
Source: RNAcentral
GUCGAACGCUCACCUUCGGGUGGGAGUGGCAGACGGGUGAGUAACACGUGGGAACGUACCCUUUGGUUCGGGACAACUCUGGGAAACUGGAGCUAAUACCGGAUACGCCCUUUUGGGGAAAGGUUUACUGCCGAAGGAUCGGCCCGCGUCUGAUUAGCUAGUUGGUGGGGUAACGGCCUACCAAGGCGACGAUCAGUAGCUGGUCUGAGAGGAUGAUCAGCCACACUGGGACUGAGACACGGCCCAGACUCCUACGGGAGGCAGCAGUGGGGAAUAUUGGACAAUGGGCGCAAGCCUGAUCCAGCCAUGCCGCGUGAGUGAUGAAGGCCUUAGGGUUGUAAAGCUCUUUUAUCCGGGACGAUAAUGACGGUACCGGAGGAAUAAGCCCCGGCUAACUUCGUGCCAGCAGCCGCGGUAAUACGAAGGGGGCUAGCGUUGCUCGGAAUCACUGGGCGUAAAGGGCGCGUAGGCGGCGUUUUAAGUCGGGGGUGAAAGCCUGUGGCUCAACCACAGAAUGGCCUUCGAUACUGGGACGCUUGAGUCUGGUAGAGGUUGGUGGAACUGCGAGUGUAGA